This 179-nucleotide non-coding RNA is filed under the name Selenomonas sputigena. The record is from RNAcentral. Lineage: Bacteria; Bacillati; Bacillota; Negativicutes; Selenomonadales; Selenomonadaceae. RNAcentral also lists the same sequence under 1 other name.
UUUUAUAUCGUUGGAUCAGGUGUCGUAAGACUUAAUAGGGAAUCCGGUAGAAGCCGGAGCGGUCCCGCCACUGUAACAGCGAGCCAGCCUGCAAGGAAUGUCACUGGGGCAAUGCCCUGGGAAGGCGCAGGUGCGCGAUGAGCUGGAGCCAGGAGAACUGCCUGAUGGACAAUCGCCAU